This is a non-coding RNA of Salmo salar (Atlantic salmon), 1195 nucleotides long. Lineage: Eukaryota; Metazoa; Chordata; Actinopteri; Salmoniformes; Salmonidae. The record is from RefSeq and is a predicted model, not a curated record.
GUCCUCCUAUAGCUCCUCUCACCAUCCUCUACUGGUCGAUUGGUAUAGCCUGUUUUUUUGUUUUGUUUUAACCAAGCUAGUCUUGGCGACAUUCUCAAAGCGUAACUAGCUUAUAAUUUUAGGUCAGUUUGACAGAAUGGACAUACCAAGACUGGAGUGUGGACCUCAUCUUUCAAUCACACACGUGGGUAUACAGUAUGCUUGAAAAAACCAGUUGGGACACUGACAUGUCAUCCAUUCUUCUCCUUGUCCAUCUUCUGCCUCCCUCUGCUCAAGGCCACAACAAGCAGGGAAAGAUGCAGGGACCAGCAUCCAGCAGCAUCUGGAUGGCAUCACCGGAAGUCCACAAUAUCUGCUUGCCGUGGGUUUCCCAGAGAACGAUCAUUCACGCCUACUUCAUCGCGAUUGACAAACAUCCGGUACCUGGCUCACUGGGCUGUUUUGAUGAGCUUUUCAAAGCUCACUUUGUAUUUGGUACCUCAUACAGUCAGGGUCUGGCAAACAUGUACACUUUUCUACAAACGAGAUUGACAUUGAUACAACUAACGGCGAAUCCCAGGGUAGUACAGCUGAGGGCCAGAAUGUUGCAUUCAUCAGAUCUGUUUAAAAUAGACAUUUUUUUAUUUUGUUUUUGCAAAUGCCGCCAAGAAAAUGCCAUUAGCCUUGUAAAACAUCUGACGUUAAUUCAUGGUCAUUGUCCAGGGAAAUGUCUACAUUUAAAAAGUGUGGUCAGGUUGGUUGUUCACAUGUAUUUGGCACUUUGUCUGGAUUUACAAAGCAUCUUAACAAGGCACAUGAAGAGCUUACCGAAGCAGUUUCUGAUAAUGAUGGUGGAGGCCCCUCUACCGCUGCUAACAGUUUUGCAGCAAACAAUUUUGAUGUGCCAGCACCAAGCUCACAUUGUGAUUCAGCUCUGUAUAAUAAGAGUAUUGUAGAUAAUUGUGCCGCAACAAUAAAUCAACUCAAAGCAGCAGGAUUUGGUGAAUCCGCAAAGAACAGUUUUGUCAGUUCCAUGGAAGAGAGUUGAUGACAUGAGUAAAGCUAAAGAGUCAGUGAAGAAGUGUCUGUCUUUACAGGAAACUGGCAACAAUGAUCUAACAGGUGUAAAAUAUAAAUGCCACAUACAACAAUUUCAACCAUUUUACUGAGUUACAGUUCUUAUAAGGAAAUCAGUCAAUUGAAAUGAAUUCAUUAG